GCAGGGCAUGGUGGCGCAUACCUGUAAUCCCAGUGGCUCAGGAGGCUGAGACAGGAGGAUCGUGAGUUCCAAGCCAGCCUCAGCAAUGGAGAGGCACUAAGCCACUCAGUGAGACCUGUCUCUA
This 124-nucleotide small RNA is filed under the name Marmota monax (woodchuck). The record is from RNAcentral. Lineage: Eukaryota; Metazoa; Chordata; Mammalia; Rodentia; Sciuridae.